This 497-nucleotide ribosomal RNA is filed under the name uncultured bacterium. Its description in RNAcentral is "partial 16S ribosomal RNA". It matches the Rfam family "Bacterial small subunit ribosomal RNA", at positions 28 to 507 of the family's 1533-position model. The record is from RNAcentral.
GAUGAACGCUGGCGGCGUGCCUAAUACAUGCAAGUCGAGCGAACAGACGAGGAGCUUGCUCCUCUGACGUUAGCGGCGGACGGGUGAGUAACACGUGGAUAACCUACCUAUAAGACUGGGAUAACUUCGGGAAACCGGAGCUAAUACCGGAUAAUAUAUUGAACCGCAUGGUUCAAUAGUGAAAUACGGUUUUGCUGUCACUUAUAGAUGGAUCCGCGCCGCAUUAGCUAGUUGGUAAGGUAACGGCUUACCAAGGCAACGAUGCGUAGCCGACCUGAGAGGGUGAUAGGCCACAUUGGAACUGAGACACGGUCCAGACUCCUACGGGAGGAAGCAGUAGGGAAUCUUACGCAAUGGGCGAAAGCUUGACGGAGCAACGCCGCGUGAGUGAUGAAGGUCUUCGGAUCGUAAAACUCUGUUAUUAGUGAAGAACAAAUGUGUAAGUAACUAUGCACGUAUUGACGGUACCUAAUCAGAAAGCCACGGCUAACUACGUG